UGAGAAGUAGGCGGAUUUGUGAAAUGGACUCGUUGCUAAUUCUACACAGCGCUAACGGGCCGGGUGGCCGUUCUAGCCGCUCAGUGUGGCGGGGAUGUGACGGAGCCGCGGGCACCCUGAGGCCGAGUCGGGUGCCCUGGCACCCUUUCCACGCCAAGCAGAUGAGGGCAUUUUGCAGCAGACUGGGCCUCGGCAAAAGCGUUGACUGCAGGAGACGGGCCCGGCAUCCGUCCAGCUGCAGCGGAGGGUCUCUUGUCAUGGGGUGUCCCGUGGUGUGCAGAGUGGGUGCUGAGCAGUUUUUCUGAGAGGUUUGACUGCCGCCCCGUGGGGGCAGCUCUCAUCCCAGCAAUGUGCCACAGAGACACGAGAGACACGCGUGCCCGUGGAGCAGGCAGGUGACAGAAAGCCCAAGAAGUGUGUCCAGGACCCCCUCCAGGAACCAUGGCCAAGGUCUCUGCAGAGGGGAGGGGAGGCUGUGGCACGGAGCCCUCAGCUGCUCCCACACACAUGGAACACCUGUUUCAGGGAGCCCACCAGAGGCCCUCGGGCCGACACCCGGGGAGACCAGGGAGCCCACCAGAGGCCCUCGGGCCAACACCCGGGGAGACCAGGGAGCCCACCAGAGGCCCUCGGGCCGACACCCGGGGAGACCAGGGAGCCCACCAGAGGCCCUCGGGCCAACACCCGGGGAGACCAGGGAGCCCACCAGAGGCCCUCGGGCCGACACCCGGGGAGACCAGGGAGCCCACCAGAGGCCCUCGUGCCAACACCCGGGGAGACCAGGGAGCCCACCAGAGGCCCUCGGGCCGACACCCGGGGAGACCAGGGAGCCCACCAGAGGCCCUCGUGCCGACACCCGGGGAGACCAGGGAGCCCACCAGAGGCCCUCGGGCCGACACCCGGGGAGACCAGGGAGCCCACCAGAGGCCCUCGGGCCGACACCCGGGGAGACCAGGGAGCCCACCAGAGGCCCUCGGGCCGACACCCGGGGAGACCAGGGAGCCCACCAGAGGCCCUCGUGCCGACACCCGGGGAGACCAGGGAGCCCACCAGAGGCCCUCGUGCCGACACCUGGGGAGACCAGGCUCCAACAAACUUUAUCUGGGCUCAGAAGGGCUGGUCGACCUUCCUCACCCCUUGGGGCAGUGCCAGGCUAGGUGUGGCUCUGGACAAAGAAUGCAGGUACAGAAAGACCCGGAACAGCACCCACUCAGCCCAGCCCCUCUGUGGGCCAGACAGGGAAGCCCACCCUCCCCAUGCAAAGGAGGGUCUGCUGAUUCCCCCGAAAGAACACGCAGGGAGAAACACGCACAGCAGGGAUGGGGCUGGCACCAGUCCUGUGUGUGGGUGCACCGCGAGCCUCUCUCUCACCCAGGGUUAACCGUAGGAACCUUUGCUGUGCCCACCCCCUCCAGGGACCUCUCACUGAGGAGUCUCGCUGCUCAGUGCGUCCGCACCUGGAGGUCUCUCCGCAUCUCCAAAUCACGGAACCAGAUGGACAGUGCUCCGCAGCCUGCGAUCUGUGACCUUGAAAUCACCUACCCAAGAAUCGACUGGGAAAUUGCUUCCAAAACUCCUGGUAUUUUCAGUCUGUGGAUCAAAAGAACCACGGCGUCUGAUCCACAGAGGAAGGGAAACGGGGCCCUCGGUUCAGGACGGAGAGGCCCAGGCUGUCUGCAGAGCGUGGAAACGAGCCCAUUCAGAACCCAACACCCCUCCUAAGUUGGCUGUGAGCUCUCCAGC
Oryctolagus cuniculus (rabbit) is the source of this 1743-nucleotide long non-coding RNA. The record is from Ensembl. NCBI's taxonomy places the organism in Eukaryota, Metazoa, Chordata, Mammalia, Lagomorpha, Leporidae.